This 254-nucleotide ribosomal RNA is filed under the name uncultured bacterium. RNAcentral's name for it is "partial 16S ribosomal RNA". It matches the Rfam family "Bacterial small subunit ribosomal RNA", at positions 524 to 778 of the family's 1533-position model. The record is from RNAcentral.
UACGUAGGGCGCAAGCGUUGUCCGGAAUUAUUGGGCGUAAAGAGCUCGUAGGCGGUCUGUCGCGUCCGUUGUGAAAACUCGAGGCUCAACCUCGGGCUUGCAGUGGAUACGGGCAGACUAGAGUGCGGUAGGGGAGACUGGAAUUCCUGGUGUAGCGGUGGAAUGCGCAGAUAUCAGGAGGAACACCGAUGGCGAAGGCAGAUCUCUGGACCGAUACUGACGCUGAGGCGCAAAAGCGUGGGAGCAAACGAGGA